CAGUCGCCGCGGGAAAACGUAGGGGGCGAGCGUUGUCCGAAGUUACUGGGCGUAAAGCGCGCGUAGGCGGUCUUUUAAGUCUGGGGUGAAAGGUUCACGGCUCAACCGGAACAGUGCCUUGGAUACUGGGAGACUUGAAUCUGGCAGAGGAUAGUGGAAUUCCUGGUGUAGCGGUGAAAUGCGUAGAUAUCAGGAGGAACACCGAUGGCGAAGGCAGCUAUCUGGGCUAAGAUCGACGCUGAGGUGCGAAAGCGCGGGGAGCAAACGGGAUUAGAUACCCCGGUAGUCCCUGUCUCUUAUA
This 301-nucleotide ribosomal RNA is filed under the name uncultured bacterium. RNAcentral describes it as "partial 16S ribosomal RNA". It matches the Rfam family "Bacterial small subunit ribosomal RNA", at positions 509 to 808 of the family's 1533-position model. The record is from RNAcentral.